CAGUACCUCUUCUACGUAUAUUUUCUAUGAAACUUUCAUCCUAUUAGAUCUAUCUCAUAGACUUAUAUCUAUCUCAUAGACUUUUAUAGGAUAUUUUUCAAAGGUCUCUUAUAAAGAAUUUCUUUAGACAACCAUAUUCUAACCAUAGUCAGUAUGGGAACAACAUUCUCAAUCAGGAGGAUGAAAUCCACCAUAUAAUACGAGGAAUAUAACAUCACUCCCAC
This 224-nucleotide long non-coding RNA is filed under the name Elaeis guineensis (African oil palm). Its description in RNAcentral is "long non-coding RNA (EGUI_LNC036966)". The record is from RNAcentral. Lineage: Eukaryota; Viridiplantae; Streptophyta; Magnoliopsida; Arecales; Arecaceae.